AUUUAUCAGGGUACCUCACUUGAGUGGGUGUGACUGUGGAAGUAAUGCUGCCCACAGCCUUCACCCCUGUGUGGGGAUGCUCAGAGAUUGGAUCCCUUCUGGAGAUGUUUGAAGACUCAGAAGCAUUUUGCAAACACAGAUAUUUUUAUGCCUACUCAUUUGUAAUUUGCAUAAAUAAGGAGAUUAAACCUGCUAUGCUACACACU
Non-coding RNA from Lonchura striata (white-rumped munia), 206 nucleotides. Lineage: Eukaryota; Metazoa; Chordata; Aves; Passeriformes; Estrildidae. The record is from RefSeq and is a predicted model, not a curated record.